UCCGUGUCCGAAAAUGUUCGCGCGUAAAGACAACCACGAUAUCCACGUUAAAAUUGUUCAUCGUGACGGAAUAGUCGCCACGCCGGCUAUUCUCCCGCAGGCCGGACCAUCUACAGCAGAGGUUCCUAAACUUUUUAUUGUACAGACCGAUUUUGGAAAAUUUUUAAAAUUUGGCGACCCACAAUAUCAUCGAAUGACCAUUUUUUCGCCGACAUUUAUCACCUCGAUUCAUCCAUAUGCAACGUACUAAAACAAUCAUCUGUGAUAAGCCUUGCAUAUCUCUGGACUCGUCUAGUUGUAAUGAGAACUAUGU
Non-coding RNA from Cinara cedri, 313 nucleotides. Lineage: Eukaryota; Metazoa; Arthropoda; Insecta; Hemiptera; Aphididae. The record is from the annotation of a GenBank genome assembly.